AUGCCUGUACAGCCAAGAUGGAUCCCUCCGCCUGAAGGAAUAGCAAAAGUACGAGUCGACGGGGCUGUUUUGAGAGAUGGUAAUUUUGGUUCCUUCAGUGUUGUUUGCAGAAACUCUUCAGGUAUAUACUUGGGCGCUUCAGUUAUCAAGAUCUAUGGAGUGACAGAUCCGGUGACGCUGGAAGCUUUGGCGUGUCGUGAGGCGCUAGCCCUUGCUACUGACCUGGACCUCGCACACCUUCUCGUAGUGAGCGACUGCCAAGGUGUAGUGACUGACAUUAACAACCGCACGGGAGGAAACUACACCAGCACCACCAGGGAGAUCGUUGAAACAUCGACGAGCUCUGAUAGUUGCAUCUUCAUCUUUGAAGGUAGGGCAACCAAUGUUGAGGCACAUAGCCUCGCUAAGCAUGCUUUCGGUUUGGACUUUGGGCACCAUGUGUGGAUGUUAAACCCUCCAAACAUUUCUUGUAUCCCUAUGAACAUUAUUGAGCAAAAAAUAAAGCGUGUUUAG
This 513-nucleotide ribosomal RNA is filed under the name Triticum aestivum (bread wheat). RNAcentral's name for it is "partial small subunit ribosomal RNA". Lineage: Eukaryota; Viridiplantae; Streptophyta; Magnoliopsida; Poales; Poaceae. The record is from RNAcentral.